RNAcentral lists this ribosomal RNA (656 nucleotides) under Glaciibacter sp. RNAcentral describes it as "bacterial SSU rRNA". The record is from RNAcentral. Lineage: Bacteria; Bacillati; Actinomycetota; Actinomycetes; Micrococcales; Microbacteriaceae.
UGCAGUCGUGCGAUGAUGCCCAGCUUGCUGGGUGGAUUAGUGGCGAACGGGUGAGUAACACGUGAGUAACCUGCCCCUGACUCUGGGAUAAGCGUUGGAAACGACGUCUAAUACUGGAUAUGACUACCGGCCGCAUGGUCUGGUGGUGGAAAGAUUUUUUGGUUGGGGAUGGACUCGCGGCCUAUCAGCUUGUUGGUGAGGUAAUGGCUCACCAAGGCGACGACGGGUAGCCGGCCUGAGAGGGUGACCGGCCACACUGGGACUGAGACACGGCCCAGACUCCUACGGGAGGCAGCAGUGGGGAAUAUUGCACAAUGGGCGAAAGCCUGAUGCAGCAACGCCGCGUGAGGGAUGACGGCCUUCGGGUUGUAAACCUCUUUUAGUAGGGAAGAAGCGACUGAGUUUACUCUGAGUGACGGUACCUGCAGAAAAWGCACCGGCUAACUACGUGCCAGCAGCCGCGGKAAUACGUAGGGUGCAAGCGUUGUCCGGAAUUAUUGGGCGUAAAGAGCUCGUAGGCGGUUUGUCGCGUCUGCUGUGAAAUCCCGAGGCUCAACCUCGGGCUUGCAGUGGGUACGGGCAGACUAGAGUGCGGUAGGGGAGAUUGGAAUUCCUGGUGUAGCGAUGGAAUGCGCAGAUAUCAGGAGGAACACCGA